Molecule: ribosomal RNA, 472 nt
Filed under: uncultured bacterium
Lineage: Bacteria
Description: partial 16S ribosomal RNA
Rfam family: Bacterial small subunit ribosomal RNA
Source: RNAcentral
AGUGAACGCUGGCGGUAGGCCUAACACAUGCAAGUCGAACGGCAGCACAGUAAGAGCUUGCUCUUACGGGUGGCGAGUGGCGGACGGGUGAGGAAUAUAUCGGAAUCUACUUUUUCGUGGGGGAUAACGUAGGGAAACUUACGCUAAUACCGCAUACGACCUACGGGUGAAAGCAGGGGAUCUUCGGACCUUGCGCGAUUGAAUGAGCCGGUGGCGGAUUAGCUAGUUGGCGGGGUACGGGCCCACCAAGGCGACGAUCCGGAGCCGGUCUGAGAGGAUGACCGGCCACAGUGGGACUGAGAUACGGCGCAGAUGGCGACGGGAGGCAGCAGUGGGGAAUAUUGCAAAAUGGGCGGAAGACUGAUGAAGCAACGCCGCGUGCGGGAUGACGGCCUGCGGGUUGUAAAACGCUUUCGCCUGUGACGAAGCGGGAGUGACGGUAAUGGGUAAAGAAGCACCGGCUAACUACGUG